UCUUCCCUCUUUCUUCGUGCCUAAUACAUGCAAGUCGAGCGAACAGAUAAGGAGCUUGCUCCUUUGACGUUAGCGGCGGACGGGUGAGUAACACGUGGGUAACCUACCUAUAAGACUGGGAUAACUUCGGGAAACCGGAGCUAAUACCGGAUAAUAUUUCGAACCGCAUGGUUCGAUAGUGGAAGAUGGUUUUGCUAUCACUUAUAGAUGGACCCGCGCCGUAUUAGCUAGUUGGUAAGGUAACGGCUUACCAAGGCGACGAUACGUAGCCGACCUGAGAGGGUGAUCGGCCACACUGGAACUGAGACACGGUCCAGACUCCUACGGGAGGCAGCAGUAGGGAAUCUUCCGCAAUGGGCGAAAGCCUGACGGAGCAACGCCGCGUGAGUGAUGAAGGUCUUCGGAUCGUAAAACUCUGUUAUUAGGGAAGAACAUACGUGUAAGUAACUGUGCACGUCUUGACGUUACCUAAUCAGAAAGCCACGGCUAACUACGUG
RNAcentral lists this ribosomal RNA (497 nucleotides) under uncultured bacterium. RNAcentral describes it as "partial 16S ribosomal RNA". It matches the Rfam family "Bacterial small subunit ribosomal RNA", at positions 36 to 507 of the family's 1533-position model. The record is from RNAcentral.